Molecule: ribosomal RNA, 301 nt
Filed under: uncultured bacterium
Lineage: Bacteria
Description: partial 16S ribosomal RNA
Rfam family: Bacterial small subunit ribosomal RNA
Source: RNAcentral
CAGUCGCCGCGGUAAAACGAAGGGGGCUAGCGUUGCUCGGAAUUACUGGGCGUAAAGGGCGCGUAGGCGGACAGUUAAGUUGGGGGUGAAAGCCCGGGGCUCAACCUCGGAAUUGCCUUCAAUACUGGCUGUCUUGAGUAUGAGAGAGGUGUGUGGAACUCCGAGUGUAGAGGUGAAAUUCGUAGAUAUUCGGAAGAACACCAGUGGCGAAGGCGACACACUGGCUCAUUACUGACGCUGAGGCGCGAAAGCGUGGGGAGCAAACAGGAUUAGAUACCCGCGUAGUCCCUGUCUCUUAUAC